GAUGAACGCUGGCGGCGUGCCUAAUACAUGCAAGUCGAGCGAACAGACGAGGAGCUUGCUCCUCUGACGUUAGCGGCGGACGGGUGAGUAACACGUGGAUAACCUACCUAUAAGACUGGGAUAACUUCGGGAAACCGGAGCUAAUACCGGAUAACAUGUUGAACCGCAUGGUUCAACAGUGAAAGACGGUCUUGCUGUCACUUAUAGAUGGAUCCGCGCCGCAUUAGCUAGUUGGUAAGGUAACGGCUUACCAAGGCAACGAUGCGUAGCCGACCUGAGAGGGUGAUCGGCCACACUGGAACUGAGACACGGUCCAGACUCCUACGGGAGGCAGCAGUAGGGAAUCUUCCGCAAUGGGCGAAAUCCUGGCGGAGCAACGCCGCGUGAGUGAAGAAGGUCUUCGGAUCGUAAAACUCUGUUAUUAGGGAAGAACAAAUGUGUAAGUAACUAUGCACGUCUUGACGGUACCUAAUCAGAAAGCAACGGCUAACUACGUG
RNAcentral lists this ribosomal RNA (497 nucleotides) under uncultured bacterium. RNAcentral describes it as "partial 16S ribosomal RNA". It matches the Rfam family "Bacterial small subunit ribosomal RNA", at positions 28 to 507 of the family's 1533-position model. The record is from RNAcentral.